This 491-nucleotide ribosomal RNA is filed under the name uncultured bacterium. RNAcentral describes it as "partial 16S ribosomal RNA". It matches the Rfam family "Bacterial small subunit ribosomal RNA", at positions 29 to 507 of the family's 1533-position model. The record is from RNAcentral.
AGUGAACGCUGGCGGUAGGCCUAACACAUGCAAGUCGAACGGCAGCACAGUAAGAGCUUGCUCUUACGGGUGGCGAGUGGCGGACGGGUGAGGAAUACAUCGGAAUCUACUUUUUCGUGGGGGAUAACGUAGGGAAACUUACGCUAAUACCGCAUACGACCUACGGGUGAAAGCAGGGGAUCUUCGGACCUUGCGCGAUUGAAUGAGCCGAUGUCGGAUUAGCUAGUUGGCGGGGUAAAGGCCCACCAAGGCGACGAUCCGUAGCUGGUCUGAGAGGAUGAUCAGCAACCCUGGAACUGAGACACGGUCCAGCCCCCUACGGAAGGCAGCAGUGGGAAAUAUUGGACAAUGGGCGCAAGCCUGAUCCAGCCAUACCGCGUGGGUGAAGAAGGCCUUCGGGUGGUAAAGCCCUUUUGUUGGAAAGAAAAGCAGCAGGUUAAUACCCCGCUGUUCUGACGGUACCCAAAGAAUAAGCACCGGCUAACUUCGUG